CUGGUCUCCUCUAACUGAUCUCCUACCUCCUGUCUAGCUCCUCUCCAAGCCAGUCAUUCCUCUGAUGCCAGAAUGAUCUUUUUUUAGGAGGAAAAAAAUUUGAUCCUAAAAUUUAAAAUCUGCUUUGGAAAAGUCUUCAAUACGUAUCGGACGUUAGUGCUCUUCUUGUCCAGGCUUGCCGACUGGUACCUCUUAACCAGAAUCAUCUUGUCAGCAAAGUGUCCCAGCUUAUCCACCAUUUACUUAACAGAUUACAGGGGCUGUCUUGCACACUGUGGAAUGUUUAGCAGCAUCCUUGGCCUCUGCCCACUAGAUGCCAGUAGCAGCUCUCCAAUUGUGGCAGUCAAAAAUGUAUACAGGUAUUGCCAAAUGUUUCUUGGGGGUUAAGGUUGCCCCAGGUUGCCCCACUCUCUUAAACUAAUUAGCGUUUACCCUUAGGUCUCAUGUGGGAGAGGUGGACUUCCAAAUUAAAUUAGUACUCUGCCAGCAGGGAAGGAAGAAAUGGAUGCUGGUAGGUAACCAACCAACUCUGCUGCAUGGAGUAAGGCUGUUUUCAGUUUAGAAUCGUUGAAACUAACAUGGGGUAGCUCCUGUAUGUUUACUAUUCUCAGGUGUAUCGUCUUUGUAACACUGGCAGUUGGAGAUGUUCCUGAACACCUGUGGCACCUAUCACGCUUUACCAGCUUUCCAGCAUUUGGUGACAGUUAGUCUCAAUUGUCCAUGAAUUGACACUUGGAUUAAUCUGGUCCGUCCCAACAAGAUGAUCAGCUCCGUGACAGCAGGGAUAUGUCCUGUCUUCGGAGGGUAUUCCUCAGGUCAUGUUAGAGAUGCAGUAGGUGUUUAGUAGUUAUAUUGGUUCACUGUGUAUUCGUUGAGUAUAUUAUGUAUAAGGCAGUUUAAUUAAAUUUCAGUGCAUUGCAAUACUCAUAUCUGUGUAUUCACAGCUGCCAGUGUCUGAUUAGUUCAAGGAAAAGUUACAAGGACUUUAUCAAGUUCUACUUUACUAAAGAGGAAGAAGUGAGCAAGACCUUAGGGCGGGGAGAAGGCCCCUACGUUGAUCAAACUUUCAGGCCCUUUAGAGGUGAUCCUUUUGACACAUAAACGACAGACAUACACUCUGUCUUUUAUACAGCUUGACUCAGGUGAGCAUACAUGUCCAUAAAAGCAUAAUAUCUUUUAAAAUUUAGAUCAGAAUAUAUCUUUUCCUGUCGUGUUAGGUAAUUGUGGAUGAACAGCACUUGGAUUUCCUGUUGGCGUAUACUAUUUCGACUAUUCAUCAGUGUAGUUCCUGGACACACAUGGAAAUUCUUCAAGCCCUGGCAGCUCUGGUGUACUGCAAUGGCUCAGAAUGUCAAAAGAUAGUUUAAAGUGCUUAAUCCUUCCUUUGAAAGGCCAGGAGCACAGGCUCUGGUGCCAACACUGUUCAGGUUUCUAUCUUGCUACUAAUCUCUAGCAAUUCUUACUUAACCACUCUGGGCCUUGUUUCCUCAUGUAUAAAAUUGUUACUCUGAGGAUGAAGUGAGACAA
This is a long non-coding RNA of Piliocolobus tephrosceles (Ugandan red Colobus), 1527 nucleotides long. RefSeq lists it as uncharacterized. The record is from RefSeq and is a predicted model, not a curated record. The transcript is spliced from 3 exons. NCBI's taxonomy places the organism in Eukaryota, Metazoa, Chordata, Mammalia, Primates, Cercopithecidae.